RNAcentral lists this ribosomal RNA (497 nucleotides) under uncultured bacterium. Its description in RNAcentral is "partial 16S ribosomal RNA". It matches the Rfam family "Bacterial small subunit ribosomal RNA", at positions 28 to 507 of the family's 1533-position model. The record is from RNAcentral.
GAUGAACGCUGGCGGCGUGCCUAAUACAUGCAAGUCGAGCGAACGGACGAGAAGCUUGCUUCUCUGAUGUUAGCGGCGGACGGGUGAGUAACACGUGGAUAACCUACCUAUAAGACUGGGAUAACUUCGGGAAACCGGAGCUAAUACCGGAUAAUAUUUUGAACCGCAUGGUUCAAAAGUGAAAGACGGUCUUGCUGUCACUUAUAGAUGGAUCCGCGCUGCAUUAGCUAGUUGGUAAGGUAACGGCUUACCAAGGCAACGAUGCAUAGCCGACCUGAGAGGGGGAGCGGCCACACGGGAACUGAGACACGGUCCAGACUCCUACGGGAGGCAGCAGUAGGGAAUCUUCCGCAAUGGGCGAAAGCCUGACGGAGCAACGCCGCGUGAGUGAUGAAGGUCUUCGGAUCGUAAAACUCUGUUAUUAGGGAAGAACAUAUGUGUAAGUAACUGUGCACAUCUUGACGGUACCUAAUCAGAAAGCCACGGCUAACUACGUG